RNAcentral lists this ribosomal RNA (835 nucleotides) under uncultured Actinomycetes bacterium. Its description in RNAcentral is "bacterial SSU rRNA". It matches the Rfam family "Bacterial small subunit ribosomal RNA", at positions 68 to 918 of the family's 1533-position model. Lineage: Bacteria; Bacillati; Actinomycetota; Actinomycetes. The record is from RNAcentral.
GGAAAGGCCCUUCGGGGUACUCGAGCGGCGAACGGGUGAGUAACACGUGAGUAAUCUGCCCCAGGCUCUGGGAUAGCCACCGGAAACGGUGAUUAAUACCGGAUACGACAACCGAUUGCAUGAUCUGGUUGUGGAAAGUUUUUCGGCCUGGGAUGUGCUCGCGGCCUAUCAGCUUGUUGGUGAGGUAAUGGCUCACCAAGGCUUCGACGGGUAGCCGGCCUGAGAGGGUGACCGGCCACACUGGGACUGAGACACGGCCCAGACUCCUACGGGAGGCAGCAGUGGGGAAUAUUGGACAAUGGGCGGAAGCCUGAUCCAGCAACGCCGCGUGAGGGAUGACGGCCUUCGGGUUGUAAACCUCUUUCAGCACAGACGAAGCGCAAGUGACGGUAUGUGCAGAAGAAGGACCGGCCAACUACGUGCCAGCAGCCGCGGUAAUACGUAGGGUCCGAGCGUUGUCCGGAAUUAUUGGGCGUAAAGGGCUCGUAGGCGGUCUGUCGCGUCGGGAGUGAAAACCAGGUGCUUAACACCUGGCCUGCUUUCGAUACGGGCAGACUAGAGGUACUCAGGGGAGAAUGGAAUUCCUGGUGUAGCGGUGAAAUGCGCGGAUAUCAGGAGGAACACCGGUGGCGAAGGCGGUUCUCUGGGAGUAUCCUGACGCUGAGGAGCGAAAGUGUGGGGAGCGAACAGGAUUAGAUACCCUGGUAGUCCACACCGUAAACGUUGGGCGCUAGGUGUGGGACACAUUCCACGUGUUCCGUGCCGCAGCUAACGCAUUAAGCGCCCCGCCUGGGGAGUACGGCCGCAAGGCUAAAACUCAAAUGAAUUGACGGGG